UAAAUUCUCUAGUGGCGCACGGGUGAGUAACACGUGAGUAACCUGCCCCCGAGAGCGGGAUAGCCCUGGGAAACUGGGAUUAAUACCGCAUAGUAUCGAAAGAUUAAAGCAGCAAUGCGCUUGGGGAUGGGCUCGCGGCCUAUUAGUUAGUUGGUGAGGUAACGGCUCACCAAGGCGAUGACGGGUAGCCGGUCUGAGAGGAUGUCCGGCCACACUGGAACUGAGACACGGUCCAGACACCUACGGGAGGCAGCAG
RNAcentral lists this ribosomal RNA (256 nucleotides) under uncultured bacterium. Its description in RNAcentral is "partial 16S ribosomal RNA". It matches the Rfam family "Bacterial small subunit ribosomal RNA", at positions 84 to 354 of the family's 1533-position model. The record is from RNAcentral.